RNAcentral lists this ribosomal RNA (247 nucleotides) under uncultured bacterium. RNAcentral's name for it is "partial 16S ribosomal RNA". It matches the Rfam family "Bacterial small subunit ribosomal RNA", at positions 15 to 270 of the family's 1533-position model. The record is from RNAcentral.
GAUCAUGGCUCAGAUUGAACGCUGGCGGCAGGCUUAACACAUGCAAGUCGAACGAUGGAACCUAGCUUGCUAGGGGAAAUAGUGGCGAACGGGUGAGUAAUAUUUAGGAAACUGCCUUAUAGAGGGGGAUAGCUCGGGGAAACUCGAAUUAAUACCGCAUACGUCCUACGGGAGAAAGGAGCUUUAGGGUUCUGCUAUAAGAUGUGCCUAAAUUAGAUUAGCUAGAUGGUGAGGUAAAGGCUCACCA